Molecule: long non-coding RNA, 1592 nt
Organism: Diceros bicornis minor
Lineage: Eukaryota; Metazoa; Chordata; Mammalia; Perissodactyla; Rhinocerotidae
Exons: 3
Source: RefSeq, a predicted model, not a curated record
AACAAUGGCCGCUGCCAAUGUCCCAGUCCCUGGAGAGGUCUCACCUCUCACCAAGAUGCACUCAGAGCCUAUCAGAUUUGGAGAUCUCAUUGUCUUUCAGAGUAUGGAGAUUUGCUGACCAGGGAAGCAGGGUGGCCAGUGGCACUCACAGGAAUUCUGCCCCUUGUGGUAAGAUUGCUGACCCUUUGACUGGUCAUCAGAUAAUGGAGUUGGGGGUGAAGCCCAUCUAGGGUGAUUUCAGAAGCCGAGGAAGCCUCAAGCUGCUCUCAUCCACUGCUUAUGCAUGAUGUCACAUACAACUGAAAGUUAAAUUUUAUGAUUUAGGUACCACUAGAAAAUGAACUUCAUAAUUCAUCAAUCAACAACCAAUAUUAUUGAAUGCUUGCUAUAAACAAGAUCAUGGACCAAGUGCUGUGAGUGCUACAAAAACAGAUAAGACAAUGACCUGAUCAGAUUUGCAAUGUAAUAAGAUCAUUUUAGCUGGAUUGCAGAAAAAAGAUCCUGGCUGGGAGGCAGAAAGGAUUAAUAGUUAGCGUAUUGGUUUAGUUGUUUUAACAGAGGCCCAAUAACUGUGGCUUCCACAAGAAAGAAUAUUUAUUUCUCUCUCACAUAAAAUUUUGAGGUGGAAAACAGUCCAGGAGGAUAGGGUUCCUUUUAUCUUGAGCCUCCCUCAUCCCCUUCUAUGCUGUUUUGACCUGCAAGUUUCAACCUGAGUCCCCAUCGUCUCAUUACAAUCCAGACUACAGAGAAGGAAGAAAAGGAUGACAAGCAUGUCUAUUUUAAGGAUGUGGUUCAGAAGGUGCGCGUGUCACUUCCUUUACAGGGUAGUGACCAGAACUUACUUGGCGAGGUGACAUUAGAGCUUGGUCGUAUGGAGCAGCCAGGGAGGUUGAGAGAUGCGGUCUCUAGCUGGGGGGCACGGUGCUUGGUUCUCUUACCAAGAGGAAGAAGGGAGUAUAGAUAUUGCGUAUAAUUUGCAGUCUCUGCGAUAGGGGACAAGACUGGAGGCAAAGAGAUCAAUUAAGAGACUAUUAAAGUGAUAAUAGUGGCCUGAAGCACGCUAGUGUCCACAAUAAUAAUAAGGAUUGAAAGAGUAUUUGGAGGGAAGAAUUAAUAGGACUUUGGAAUUUACUGAAUUUGAGGAAUUAAAGACCAUAAGGAGUAAGUAAGUAAUUCAUUCCUUAGGUGUGCAUCGAGUCCCUACCAUGUGCCAAGCAUUGCCCGAGGUGCUAGAUAUACAGUGGUGAAUAAAUAGAUACUAUUCUUGCUUUAAGGAACUUAAAGACUAGGGUGUCAUGUCCAGAUAUCUAUUGAAGCAGAUUGUACUGCUAUCUAUUGAGAUAGGGAAGACGGAAGAAAGACCAAGUUUGGGGGAAAGUGUACAUGAUAAUCAUAAUAAACUUGAGGUGCCUGUGGGACAGCCAAUUUGUAAUAUUCAGGAAAUGGUUGAAUAUGUGAGUCUGAAUCUCAGGAGGAAAAUUGGAGCUUGAGAUAGCUAUGCACUGGGGACCAUAAGCACAGGUGGUAAUUUGCAGCCACCUGAGUAGUAAGAUUGCCCAAAUAGAGUGUAGAGAGAAAGAAGAGAAGAGGCC